GCUGAUUCUAGCAGACGGGUUUGCUAGUGAGCUUGACUGAAGCUUUUAAUUGUUGUGCUGGCAAUUUAAAAAACUAAUUAGCAGCAGCCUCACCCCCUUAAGAAGGAAACAGGCCUUGCCAAGGAAAACGUGGUGAAGACACCAGGCUUCUACUCCGAAGCGGAAGCGCAGGUCAUGUGAUGCUGCUGAACAAAGCGGCUGGAGUCAGGAGAGCUGGAGAGGAUUCGCGGGGUCAGUGGAGGCCAGCAGGUGGACGACGGAGCUCCCCGCUCGGACCCUGCUUCUCAGAAAGACCUCACCUGGCUAAGGCAAUUUUCUCUGUGUCCAUCCGCUGUAUUUCCCGGACAGCGGUGAGCAGUGAGCAUCUUUUUGUCUUUUAUCAGACGUCCUGAGGAACCAGAUAUCAUAACACAAGCAAGCAUGUUUUGGAAAUAUGAAAUAGAGUUAUAUUUGAGGUGAUUCAUCUAACUUUCUGUCACCUAUUAGAACAAAAUAUUUAAGCC
RNAcentral lists this long non-coding RNA (503 nucleotides) under Fukomys damarensis (Damara mole-rat). Its description in RNAcentral is "lncRNA (ENSFDAG00000031617.1)". Lineage: Eukaryota; Metazoa; Chordata; Mammalia; Rodentia; Bathyergidae. The record is from RNAcentral.